Non-coding RNA from Arachis ipaensis, 1038 nucleotides. Lineage: Eukaryota; Viridiplantae; Streptophyta; Magnoliopsida; Fabales; Fabaceae. The record is from RefSeq and is a predicted model, not a curated record.
UGCCUGCAAUCGUUUGAAUAUUUUCGGACGAUCAUCAUCUUCUUCUAGUCCAAUAGUAUUAAAGAGCAGCCAAAGUUUUGACCAACAGUCAACACCUUUUCUAGAGAUUUAUACAAUGCAAGAAACUGAGGAUUUAGAAGAACUUCCAGCAUCUUCCAUACAGAAUGGGAAGAGAGAUGAAACACGUGAAGAGAAGACGGAUCGGAGGAUAUUACUGUCUAUGAACCACAAACACUCUAUUCUCUGCUUAUGGAUAAACAAGCUAAGUUAGUCCAUCUGAACAGAAGAAAAUCGGGAAGAGGGAAAAGUUGUUUGAUUUGCUGAAAGAGGAUGAGCGAUGAGAGGACCAUGAGAAAAUGAGAACAAAAAAGUAGAGAUCAGACUCUGAUUUCUGUUGCUGAUUUGUUGAUCAUGUCAGAUAUUAGCAAUGCAUAACUUGUGAUUGUUUCUUGUUUCUUGUUUCAGAUUCCCGAGUUGGCUAGAACCCAUCCGGCACUAAUGACAUUCAAAAGUGUUCAGCUUUCGCCGGCAACUUGGAUGGCGGUUUCAUGGUUAGCAUAAUUCAUAUUGUGAAACAGAAAGUGACAACAUUGACACAGAGAAAGACAUAUAUUGGUGGUGUGGUUGGGGAAGCACUGAAGGAAACAAAUGCAAGAACAAGAACGGAAGCAGUGGUGGCGGCAGCAUUUCUGUGCCGCCUUUCGGUCUAGCUACCUACAAGAUGCAAGAAGAUCUAUGGCUGAAUCCAGAGCCAUGUGAAUAUGAAAGGAUAUCAUAUCUGUACAGUGCUGCAGAUUCAUGGUUGAAACAGCUCAAUUUUUAUCACCAUGACUUCAACUUCUUCACACAACACCCUACACCAACAACCUUGUAGUAAAUUCGCUUCAUUAACUAAAUUAACUACCCUUUUGGUUAGCUUUCAACUUCUUACUCCGGCAUAAUAACAAAAUAUUUCAGUUCCCUUGGGUCCAAAUUCUGAGAAAUGUAAAGUUUUGUAGUUAACCAGAGAGAUAGAAAGAAGGGGGUAGUUUUUUUUUU